Aethalodelphis obliquidens (Pacific white-sided dolphin) is the source of this 2247-nucleotide long non-coding RNA. RefSeq lists it as uncharacterized. The transcript is spliced from 3 exons. NCBI's taxonomy places the organism in Eukaryota, Metazoa, Chordata, Mammalia, Artiodactyla, Delphinidae. The record is from RefSeq and is a predicted model, not a curated record.
CUCCCCUCCCCUCCCCCAGGAGACAUUUUGGGCACGUCCCGGCAGCAGGUACCCGAAGAGCCAGUGUACGAGCGGCCAGAGCCUAGUCAGGCUCCUUCGGAUGGCAAGCAUGGCCCGGCUUCGAGCGCCGCGAAGGGCAGCGGCCGGUAUACUUCCUUAAAUUCCUUCUGUGGCUUCUCUACUGAUUAAAACAAAAACAGCAACCUAGAAGCUCGGAGAGACUAAGAGACAAAGGUAACAAAGUAUUUUCCCCUGGGCAAUUCUUCAGAUACUGCGUGUGUGCAUGUGUGUGUCCGCCUUGAUUGAGUCCUCAGUUGCAUCAGUGAACUCUCAGAUUCUCACUGACUUUCUCUUUGCAAGAAGAACACGUUAGUGGAUGCAAUCAUGUCCAUCUGUGUCAUCUCUGCGAUGUCCUCUGUCCCCGCCAGCUUUGUCGUGUUCCUGAUCCAGGGGUGUGUCAGCAAAUAGAAGCACCUGUAGUUCAUCAGUGGAGUGAAGCCUGUCAUCUACGGGCUCUCCAAUUCUGUCUAGGACAUGGUAAGAAUGCUGGUCUGCCGCUGCUUUAUAAACCUCCAAUAGGGCUCUGGAUUGGACGGAUGAAAGGGCCCCUGGCCAUCACCAGGAAAUGUUCUAGCUAGUCCAAAGAUGAAUGAAAGAGGAAAAGGCAGACCCAGUUGUACACUUUCAUGUGACCAAACACGGCCUUAAGCACACGGCUGAUCUCACGCCAGAGGAAAUCCGUUCCCACACACUGCAAUUCAUACCACCACCACCUCAUUCCCUAAGUGACAACUUUUCAAAAAACUGAGGUGGAAGACUCUUAGUCAAAACUUAAAGCCAAUGCUUCUAACAUGUCUGAUAGAUUUUAGCCUUCAGAGUCAGGGUGUUCUUUGCCUUACUAGGAACUCAUCUGUCCUUCAGAUUCCUGAGGACCAGGUAAGUGAGAGGUGACCGUGCUUCCUGUUUUUCAGUUUUCCCAUAGAUAGCUAAUUCCUAAUUUAUUGUUUUUGCAGUAUGUUAGAAACAUAAACUAACAUAGCUGUAAGUACAAGCUACCAGGAGAGCCUAGAAGUGCCAAAUCUAGUUUAAGAAGGCUGAGGCACUCAACUAAAGUAAAAACUAAAGUUGUUAGUAAGAAAAUCCUAGUAUGUCUGGGAUGGUACUGAAGAAAUCCUUGUAAGGUUACUAGCAGGCUAUUUACUUGAGGUGACAAUAUUUACAGUAAAGACAGUACAUUAUUACUGUCUCAUUACCUUAUGGCAACACAACAAUAGCUCCAGAGAUGAGGAUAAAAAUAUAAAACACAGUAGAAAGAAUCAGAUUGUAUAUAUAGGCUUUUAUUAGGGCAGACAUUUCCAUAAUUAUAAACCUCAUUAAAACAAAUAGAUGACCUAACACAACACUGAAAAUCAACUAUACUUCAAUUUAAAAAAAACCAAUUAGAUGACCAAGUAUCUUUAUUAAACGGUGAUCCAAAAUGAAGUAAAAAUUAGUAAAAUUAACUGUAAAUGAAGACACUGCAAGCACAUAAACCAAUGAGUUAUCAAUGUGCUUUAAUACCAGGACCUAAUAACAUUAUUUUCCAAGUAAUUGAUUAAUUAUUAUUGUAAAAACCAUUAUUAACAUAAAUGACACAGAUGAUACUGUACUUUUCUGUAGUAAAGAAACGUUUAAUGGAUUUUUUUAUGGAUCCCAAUUGGUAUUAUAUAGAAAACCUUACUGAACAAAAACUUUUAUAAUCUCAGAAAAAGACAUGAUGAAAUGGUUGAUAGUUUAUGCAUAUAGUUUAACUAUACUAUCACAGGUAUGGAAAUGUAACAAUCAUUUGUAUGUCAGAAAAUGGUAUAAAAGCAGAGGGUUGUCAAAAUAGAGAACAAGAGAUAUUCUGAAACAAAUGAAAAAUCAAGAUACUGUGUAGUAAUGGCAACUAUUUUUAAUGUGUGACAGAUACUGAAAUACCAAGGGGAAAAUGAACAGACUGUUUCCUGAAGUGGUGGUGACAGUGGAUACAGAGUAGCUUUUAAAAAAUGCAAGGGAUAUAGCAAAUUAGCUUACCACCUCCUUCAAAUCAAAGUGAGAAUCUCUUGGAAGAAUUUAAGCACCAUUAACAGACACAUCUUAUGGCAGUUCAUGCAAUGCUUUGUAUUUCCGUGGAAAACUAUUUCAAUGGUGAAUAUGACGUAGGAAUCAGAAGCAUAUUUUGCUGAGACACUAGGUAAUUGACACUUUCCCGAACUGAAAAAAAAA